Molecule: long non-coding RNA, 3001 nt
Organism: Rhagoletis pomonella (apple maggot)
Lineage: Eukaryota; Metazoa; Arthropoda; Insecta; Diptera; Tephritidae
Exons: 2
Source: RefSeq, a predicted model, not a curated record
ACAAAAAUAGAAAAUAAAAAAUGUUUAAAUAUAGACCGAAACAUCUAAUUUCAUAAAAAAUUAACUAAAAAAUUAUUGCGCAUGUGUACUGCCGACUUACUUUGUUUGGCAUUUGUUUGGAUUUGCCUGAAUCUGAAAGUCUGCUCUAUUUGGAAUAGAAAACUUGUAUACUCAAAAGCCUUCUUCAAAUGCUAAAUUUCGGAAUUUUAAACUAUUUUAGCAACAUUGAAUGCAGAAGCUUACGUGAUUCAAAUUCAAGAGUAGAAAAAUGCUUUCUACCUUUGAAUUAUUUCUUUGAUAGAUUCGAGAGAUUCCUUUUGAUAAACUAAAUUUUUACUGAACUGCCAAAAUUUCUAUCAAAUACAUGUUAACCCUUAAUAUUGGGUCGAGUAAAAAGCCAUUGCGUAUUUUUUGUCUCAUUAGACACCCAGUAGAUAAUUUCAGGAGCUAAAAGCCGAUCUAGAAGGCCUGCCUGUGAGUCGAAAGGCCUGACACAAUACAUUCCUUUCUUUUUUGUAUGGAUUGGCACUAAUCGAAUGGCUUCUGCCUUCGCUACCCAUAGAAGGGGUUUUGUAAGACGUACUUUGGAAAGCCUUUUUGAGAAGUUUUUUAAAGCUGAUUCUUUAAGUAAUAAGAAAAAAUACUUCUCAAGGUAUUCAUUCAAACUAAAAUUGUGUUUGUAAUGCUAUAUAACAUAAUAUUAUACAUUCGCGUAAAUUGUAAAUAGGAAAAUCCCUUCUAGAAGGUAUGCAUGCAGCGGAGCGUCUUUUUUUAGUCUUUGUUGGGUAAGCAUUUUAGAAUGGCUUCAGUUAAGGGGACCUACCUAAAUUGUCUUCGCCAUCAAUCUCGGUAGGCCUUCUUAUUCGAGAAGCAUCUUUGAGGCACUGAGGUUCUUUUGAGGCAUAAAAACUCCAAAACUGAAAAAUUGCUUCAUAGGUCAGCUAUGUAUGUGUGAAUGACUCCAGUACUGCCAAAACAUAAUACCAGCUCCUACAGACAUACGCAAUGCCAUUUUAGUUCAUCCAAUACGUGCGAGUUUCAAGAUUUUCCCGUUCCUCGAUUUUGAGCUAAUCACCCAAGCGAAAAAUUCAGCAAAAUGUUACACCCUGCAAAGCAAAUGUUUUAGAACAGUGCAUAUGCGACAAUUUUCCACAACAAUUUCAUUACACAACAAACAUUAAAAAAUAAAAUAAAAUCACAGCAUCAAACUAAAAACCACAGCGAAAAAUAUUUACAUACGCAAUGUUGUUGUUAAAACAAACGAUUUUUUUCUUUAACGUGUUGUAUAUACCUACAUAUUGUCGUACAUAUAAAACAUAUGUCAAUAUGUGGGCAUGUAUGUAUGUAUAGCAAACAAAAGAUAUGCAACUUUCGAAAGUGAUCGUGGCUGGUCGAAACAUUCCAAUUGUACUUAAAUUGUUAAUAUUUAAUUUGUAUUUUUCUUACUUUUAACUAACAAAUCGUAAGCUCUUUAUACAUACAUACAUACAUAUACACUAAAAUACAUUCUUACACAUGUACAUGCAUACAAAAUGAUAUGAGCAUAAUUUAAUGAAGUAGUGAUUUAAGCGUAAAACUAAAUUAAAAAAAAAUAUAUAUAUAUAUAAAAUCAUGAUGAAUAUUCUAAAAGAAACAACACCCUUAAUAUUAAUAUAAGCAAAUGAAAUGAAGGAGUAAAAGUUUGUGAGAAAGCGUAAAAUGUGAAAAAAAGUCUAAGAAGCAAAGUUUAGUGAGCAAUGAUGAAAAAAGGCAACUUUUAACUUUCGAUUAAGCUAAGACAUAAAUAAAUACACAUAAUAAAAUUACCUACAUACAUACAUACUCUUAUGCUAACAACUCGAUAAUUAAGUUGAUGAAUUCUAAAACAAAUAAAAACAAAAACAAAUUUAGUAAAACAACAAAAAGAACAAGCAAAAAACAAUGAAUGCUCCGAUAGAUAUGUUUUUCGUAGUGGUGUGUGUACCUAUAGAUACAAUCCUUUAAGCAAAUGUUUGAAAAACUAUAACACAAAUACCUACAAUUAUUUGAGACCUUUGUCAGCUAGGGGUGGGGAAAAUGUUAUGUAAUAAUGCCUCAUUUGUGCGAGUGUUGGCUAACUGUGAUUUUAACUUAUUCGUGUUUUCAAUUUUCAUGAAUUCAAAUUGAAACUGAAAUUAGAAUGAUUGUAAAAUUCCGAUAAACUUGAACAAAUUUUUGAGCAAAAACUAAAUUUUAAAAUGAUGUCUCAUUUUUGAAACCCAUUAUACUAUAUAACUCGCACAAAUAAAGCAUUAAUUAAGGCUAAGUUAAAAAGUUAAACACAAUUUUAAAGUAUUGAGUCUCAACUUGUAAGUCGCUAAAAAGAAAAUACUGUUAUGCUUAGAAUUAUUGUUUUUGUAAAAAUUAUUUCGUGGUUUCAUAAACGCCUAGCACAAAAGUGCAUUGAUUAGCGCUCAGCGGUGUUAGCGGUGUCAGCGGUGUGGAAUGGGUGAAGGAAAUGCCGGUUAUUAAUUGAAAAACUGGUAGUGUAAGGAAAUAAAAUGAAACGUCCAUAAAAAAUAUGUGAAAACCAACCAACGAACGGAUGUCCUCACUGCUGAUGAAAAGAUUUUUUAGUGACAUAUCAUGCACCAAUUUUGGUAUGCUCAAGGAGUAAAGGAGUGUUUUGAAGGUACACAGGUGACACAGGCAACUGCGUUUGAAACCAACAAGCUAAGGAAUAAAUGACUAAAGCGUUUUGAAUCGGAACCGAAUUGCUGAAUACUUUAUAGCUCGCCCUAAGGAAAACCCCAACAGGAGCAAAUAUGUUUGUCCUUCCUUCAUAUCACAAUUACAUAUGUACUUACAUUAUCCAAGUGGCGAAUUUCAAAAAUAAAACCUUAAACCAUUAAACUGUAAAAGAACACCGCAAACACGGGAGGUCGCAAAACUUCUUUUAAACUGCUAAAAUUUGUUGUAAUUAUUUUUCCCGAUUUGAGUUUUAUAAUUUUCAAAUAAAAUACUGUUUUAUAAUAAUAAUAAU